Molecule: long non-coding RNA, 437 nt
Organism: Armigeres subalbatus
Lineage: Eukaryota; Metazoa; Arthropoda; Insecta; Diptera; Culicidae
Exons: 3
Source: RefSeq, a predicted model, not a curated record
GUAUUUUAUGCCCAUUUACAAGUUCCUUGUUUAUACCCUUUAAUGAGUGAAAAACAAAAUAUACUUUCAAACAAACGAUUUGUCGAUUGCAGUAUAUUUGCUAGUUUGUUAAAAUAUUUUAAAAUAUUACGAAAUAUACUAUUACGCGCGGUACCCUGUCAUGAAUGGCCAAGGCUUACACAAAAGCCAACAGGUUUUAGGAGCUGUUCCAUCAUGUGGUGAUUCCCAAGACAAGGAUUGCCAAAAUCGCAGAAGAACCUUCAUGAGGAUUAAUAGUAUCAUCGGACUGCGGUAAACAUUUGAUGCUGCUCAUGAUAAAGGGGAACAACGAUAUGCUGCUGUAUUCAGCCAGACUGAUCCGACAAUGUUACAGGAAAAUCGGACUUUGAAAGUGAUUACAAUGCCGCAGUACGAGGAUAGUGAUGGAUUGGUCCGCG